AUUGAACGCUGGCGGCAGGCCUAACACAUGCAAGUCGAGCGGAUGAAGGGAGCUUGCUCCUGGAUUCAGCGGCGGACGGGUGAGUAAUGCCUAGGAAUCUGCCUGGUAGUGGGGGAUAACGUCCGGAAACGGGCGCUAAUACCGCAUACGUCCUGAGGGAGAAAGUUGGGGAUCUUCGGACCUCACGCUAUCAGAUGAGCCUAGGUCGGAUUAGCUAGUUGGUGGGGUAAAGGCCUACCAAGGCGACGAUCCGUAACUGGUCUGAGAGGAUGAUCAGUCACACUGGAACUGAGACACGGUCCAGGCUCCUACGGGAGGCAGCAGUGGGGAAUAUUGGACAAUGGGCGAAAGCCUGAUCCAGCCAUGCCGCGUGUGUGAAGAAGGUCUUCGGAUUGUAAAGCACUUUAAGUUGGGAGGAAGGGCAGUAAGUUAAUACCUUGCUGUUUUGACGUUACCAACAGAAUAAGCACCGGCUAACUUCGUG
This 484-nucleotide ribosomal RNA is filed under the name uncultured bacterium. RNAcentral describes it as "partial 16S ribosomal RNA". It matches the Rfam family "Bacterial small subunit ribosomal RNA", at positions 30 to 507 of the family's 1533-position model. The record is from RNAcentral.